Long non-coding RNA from Photinus pyralis (common eastern firefly), 1879 nucleotides. RefSeq lists it as uncharacterized. The record is from RefSeq and is a predicted model, not a curated record. Lineage: Eukaryota; Metazoa; Arthropoda; Insecta; Coleoptera; Lampyridae. The transcript has 2 exons.
UCUGUAAGAGAUUUACGUAUAAUUGAAGAAAGCAAACAGUAAAUUGUUUCAAUUUCUUUAUAUUGCGACAUUGGAAACAAUGAACCCAAAUCAUGUACAAGCACAAGAUUCCAAACAACCAACUUCGACCCAAAUGAUCUUCUAUUGAGGAAUAUAUUAGACCACAAAAAUACGAGUAUGAAACCAUUUGAAUUUUUCCAUCAUUUGGAAAAAAAUAAAUUGAAAGUUUUUCAAACGUUUAACAAUUCUAUAGUUUAUCCAUCGUAACCCUUUCCAAGCUGACACUAAUAAAGUUAUUUACACCAGAAAAUUCCGAUACACAUAUCGAGGGACCAUACAAAAUUAGUCAUUGGCGCCGGCGGUAAGAAACGAAAGCGGACGUGACGCAUUCUUUCCGGGAAAUAAGAAGUGCGUUCAAGAUUCGGGAGCGUUCGAGAAAUAUGGGUGUUUGCUAAAUCAGCAAACCGAAUAUUGUGCUUCAGUCAGUUGUAACAUCGAUUGGAAGUGAAGUAGAACAGCUAUAGUGAUACCGAAGAGCAGAAAGUAUGAAGUACUACGCCAGAUGCACGAUGGCAUAUUUGGAGGACAUCUAGGAGUGACGAGAACGAUUCUAUUGGUUGAAUUGCACACAUCAAACAAGAUGUGAAGGAAUGAUGCAGAAAAUGUCCAUUUUGUGUCACAAGCAACAAGGAAAGAAGAAGGCGACAAUGAUGGGUAUAGUCCGUUUGAAAGAAUAGCCAUUGAUAUGGCGGGCCCUUCCCAGAGACAGCUGCUGGAAAUAAAUACAUCUUGGUGCUCAUAGACUACUUCAGCAAAUGGACAGCGAAGCAUAUAUGCUCAACCAAAUCAAGAAGGGACAACUGUGCCAGACAUUCUGGUAAAAACAACUUACCCUUGGAACUACAUUCUGACCAGGGACGAAAUUUUGAGUCGGCACUAUUCCAAAGUCUGUGCCAAUUAUUGGGCAUUCGCAAGACCAAAAUGACUGCUUUGCCCCACAGUCAGACGAGAUGGUAGAACGCAUGAAUAUAACAAGGAUGACAAGAUGUUCCCAGGGAUGGCCGUAAAAUUCCAAUUCCGGUUUGGGCACUUACAAAAAGUUUACAUUCACCAUCCCAAGGUGGGUAGAGUGAAUUUCCUACAGGAGUAGGGACGAUUCCUUUAUUAUCUGGUAACAAAAGACCGCAAUCAAGGUCGCGCCAUAAAACAAGAGUCGCCUGGGACUGCGGCUCUGCUACAACCGUCGUCUGUGUUGCGAGACACAACAGUUUUAAGCGGUAGGCAGUGUAGUGAAUAUUCUAGAAAUCCAGAUGGAGAUGUAGGUACCAUAAAAGAUUAGUUAUCGGCGAUAAGAAACGAAAGAGGAUGUUACGCACACUGUCUGAGAAAGAAAACGUGUUUAUUCAAGAACAUUCUAGAAGAUUCGGGAGCAUUUGAGAAGUUUCGAGAAAUAUGGGCGUUUGCUAUGUAAGCAAAUCGAACUGUGCGUCAGUCAGUUGUAAUACCAAUGCCAAUUGAAGUAUUACGCUAGUAAACAAAGCAUGCGCCAGAAUUAGUCAUUAGAUUUUUAUCGAAGAAACCAAUGCAAUAAUCAAAUAUUUUUUGUAUAAAAUAAUACUUUAUUUGUUUUUGUACAGUAUCUAAAAUUUCACUUGCACAUCAAGUGACCGUCCACAUUCACAUCAAUAAAAAAAUUAAGUUAAAAUUAAAAUGGCCUAUUUUAAAUAGACCACAAUCAAUACUUAAUUAUACUAACCUUCACGUUAGCAAAUGGUUGUACGUAAAUUUACAAAUUGAUUUAUCCUUUAGAUACUCCCAAUAAAAAUUUAAUUUAUUGCUUUUUUAGAGUGCUUUCUAGUUGCAUGGCGAUAGCUUCUAA